GACGAACGCUGGCGGCGUGCUUAACACAUGCAAGUCGAACGGAAAGGCCCUGCUUUUGUGGGGUGCUCGAGUGGCGAACGGGUGAGUAACACGUGAGUAACCUGCCCUUGACUUUGGGAUAACUUCAGGAAACUGGGGCUAAUACCGGAUAGGAGCUCCUGCUGCAUGGUGGGGGUUGGAAAGUUUCGGCGGUUGGGGAUGGACUCGCGGCUUAUCAGCUUGUUGGUGGGGUAGUUGCUUACCAAGGCUUUGACGGGUAGCCGGCCUGAGAGGGUGACCGGCCACAUUGGGACUGAGAUACGGCCCAGACGCCUACGGGAGGCAGAAGUGGGGAAUAUUGCACAAUGGGCGGAAGCCUGAUGCAGCAACGCCGCGUGCGGGAUGACGGCCUUCGGGUUGUAAACCGCUUUCGCCUGUGACGAAGCGUGAGUGACGGUAAUGGGUAAAGAAGCACCGGCUAACUACGUG
This 468-nucleotide ribosomal RNA is filed under the name uncultured bacterium. RNAcentral describes it as "partial 16S ribosomal RNA". It matches the Rfam family "Bacterial small subunit ribosomal RNA", at positions 28 to 507 of the family's 1533-position model. The record is from RNAcentral.